This is a long non-coding RNA of Stomoxys calcitrans (stable fly), 821 nucleotides long. RefSeq lists it as uncharacterized. The record is from RefSeq and is a predicted model, not a curated record. The transcript has 3 exons. NCBI's taxonomy places the organism in Eukaryota, Metazoa, Arthropoda, Insecta, Diptera, Muscidae.
CUUGAAAAUAUGGUAAUACAUUUUGCUAUCGUUAUUCGCAAUGACCUCAACCAAACACAUUCACAGGGAAAAGAACACAAUGAGCAAAACAAAUGAAAGCCUUAAACAAGUAAUUGGCGAAAUCGCACUAAUAGCAUAAGACAAUUGUUGUAGUUAAGGUGAGCGAGAAUAUCUACCGCGGCGGUCCAUUUCAACAGCAAAGACAAACGGAUACUAAAGGUGUGGUUGUGAAAUAGUCUUCCAACGUGUUUGACUCAUUCAAUAUGUUUUCGAAAAUCAUAUGGCCUUAUAUUGAUCUCCACGAACACCACUGCGUAUGAGUGUGGUAUUGUAAAAAAAAAAAAAAUAAACCAAGUAUAAGCUCAUCCCGGCAACUGAGUUGGUGGCGUGCUCGGAUAACCCGUGCGGAUAGCCGUGGGCUCGUUAUCGACCAGAGGCCAUGUCUUUCGCUACUGUGGUAUCACCAUGGACCAAAAUCGGAUUGAGACUUUUGUUAUGCUCUAACCCAAUGGCAAAUCGAAAAUAGAGAACAAAAUAAAAACAUAUGAACGGGGGGCAAAUAUGAAUCAAUACCACAGAAAUAUGUGUAUGUCACUCCAGUGGGGAAUACAAUAGAACAAUAGUCGUCAACUCAAACAACACCAAAUGAAAAGAACAGAUACUUAACUUGGAAGACCAACAAAAAGAACAAAUAACGACAAUAAAAAUUUAAAAAAAAAAACGAAAUUAUUAAAACAUGAAUUAUACUUUCCAACACAAAUAAAACUUGUUAAAGUAGCACAACCUAAAAAAAAAAUGAAAUAAAAACAUUACAUUUUCCA